This 68-nucleotide transfer RNA is filed under the name human gut metagenome. It matches the Rfam family "tRNA". From Rfam's summary of the family: Transfer RNA (tRNA) molecules are approximately 80 nucleotides in length. The record is from RNAcentral. RNAcentral also lists the same sequence under 2 other names.
CCGAUAGCUCAGUUGGUAGAGCAAGGGACUGAAAAUCCCUGUGUCGGCGGUUCGAUUCCGCCUUGGGC